RNAcentral lists this long non-coding RNA (1497 nucleotides) under Trifolium pratense (red clover). RNAcentral describes it as "long non-coding RNA (TPRA_LNC005681)". Lineage: Eukaryota; Viridiplantae; Streptophyta; Magnoliopsida; Fabales; Fabaceae. The record is from RNAcentral.
GCAAUUAAAUUACACUAAAAUAGUGUUACACCACUAAAAAUGGGACUUCCGCAUGAAGUUUGGACUUGAUAUGCAACAAUGCAGUGGAUCUGUAGAUGUAUGAAAAACAAUGAAGUAGAUGCCAGCUUUGAAAGAUUAUUACUAUAGACAAAUAAUGGAAAGCACCAUAGAAGUACUGAGAUAUGGUAUGGAUUCAAAUGACAUUCCCACUCAUUUGAUGGCUUUUAAAAUCACAUUCAAAAUACGAUUUCACUUAAACUAAAGUAAUACAAUUCCUAUUUCUUAUAUAGGGUGGGAGAAACAAUAGUAGACAGGCAUCAACUAAGACAUCAGAUGUGAAUUGACGGGAACCUCAAAAUUAAGUAACAAAACAAAGGACACCUCAUCCAUCCUCCAAACACCUCAUCCUAUCAAGCUAUGAUUAAUAGUCUUUACAUAUAAAUCAAACAUUGGAAAGAAAUAUCCCACAUUUUCAGAACAAUUUGUCCAACUCUACAAUUUCUAACAACUCCACCGUACAUCUCCAUGCUAUCUUAGUUUCGGUAUCCCACAUGAUCAAAAUGCACAAAAACAUUGGCGAACUGCGCCAAAAUUAAAACAACCUACUUAUAAACAAUAUCAACAUUAUCACACUCACCGCUACAAAUUAGUUGGUGUUGCAGCCGCAGAUCGUGCUAUUGGAACCCCCUUUCGGCUUUUAAACAAUCAUCCACUCUUCAGUUUUCUGCAGCAACAAGUAUGGUUAUCAUGAACAAGAUUCAGCCNNNNNNNNNNNNNNNNNNNNNNNNNNNNNNNNNNNNNNNNNNNNNNNNNNNNNNNNACAGAUAUAUAGUCAAAUUGAAAUCCUAUAAUAGAACAACAAUUGAAGUGUUUAAUGAAAACACCAAGUAUUUGUGACAAUUUGAAAGCAAAACAAGGGACAUAUCAUUUAUUUUAUAGCAUAAACGUUUUUCAUAUAAGUAUUUAUAGCAUUUUCCAUUCUUUUUAUAAUAGAAGAUAAAAUCAAGUCAAACUGGCUAUACGUUGUUUUUAUCAUAAGCUAUACUGGAGAGCUUAUGAAAAUAAGCUGAAAACAGAUUAUGGACAUGUCAUAAGUUGUUUUCAUAAGUUCUCCCAAACAAUCUCACAAGUGCUUAUGCCAAAUAUGUCGUACCCGUAUCGGCUACAGGUAAGUAUAUAAUAAUAGUUUAUAUAAAGAGAUAUCAAAUUGAAAGUUGAAACAAAAACCUGUACCAAACAGAAACAGAAAUAAUCGCAUUUCUUUGAAUGAGGUUAAGGUUCGUCGCUUUCUUGGAAAGAAUUGCGUCUCUUCAUCUUUCUCUCUCAAGGUGUUCGUGAGUUUGUGAGCACAAACACGCACGUGUUGUUUUUUUGUUUUGUGAGCGGAAUCAAUUUCUGAGUUUAGGGAGGAUCGAUUUGGACAAGGAGAACAAAUUUGGGGAUGAAUCAACUUCUUUAUAAAACACUUUCUACUUUCUUAACUUCGUUAGUUNNNNN